GAGUUUGAUCAUGGCUCAGAUUGAACGCUGGCGGCAGGCCUAACACAUGCAAGUCGGGCGGUAGAGAGAAGCUUGCUUCUCUUGAGAGCGGCGGACGGGUGAGUAAUGCCUAGGAAUCUGCCUGGUAGUGGGGGAUAACGCUCGGAAACGGACGCUAAUACCGCAUACGUCCUACGGGAGAAAGCAGGGGACCUUCGGGCCUUGCGCUAUCAGAUGAGCCUAGGUCGGAUUAGCUAGUUGGUGAGGUAAUGGCUCACCAAGGCGACGAUCCGUAACUGGUCUGAGAGGAUGAUCAGUCACACUGGAACUGAGACACGGUCCAGACUCCUACGGGAGGCAGCAGUGGGGAAUAUUGGACAAUGGGCGAAAGCCUGAUCCAGCCAUGCCGCGUGUGUGAAGAAGGUCUUACGGAUUGUAAAG
Molecule: ribosomal RNA, 420 nt
Filed under: uncultured bacterium
Lineage: Bacteria
Description: bacterial SSU rRNA
Rfam family: Bacterial small subunit ribosomal RNA
Source: RNAcentral